GACAUCGAAUAAUUUUUCAGGGUUAAUUUUCUUCCUCUUGUCUAAUUUUUUUUUUUUUAAGUUUGGAGUCAUUGUCUGAAGAUUAUUAGACCCAUCCUAUCCUGGCAAGGAUGCUGUAUCCCAAGGAUUCUGCUUCCAUCCCAAGGACAGCUCUUCUGCACUUUGCCAAUUUCUGUGCUCCUUCUACCGACCCUGAGUUUUUAUUUAGAAGGUCAAAUGCUUGAGAGAGAACUUGAUAAAACAGCCAAGAGGGACACGAAGAUCUGAACUCUUUGGUCUCCUUUGGCUUUUGACCUGAAUCCCAUGUACACUUGAGUUUAGCAGGCCUCAGAAUGACCAAAGACAAGAAGCUAAUUGGCCUUUGCCUUCUCAGAAAGGUCCUCUUUCUCAAGUUCUCUGGACCAUCAAGCUUUCUCCAGCAAUCUGAAGUGCAAUGAUUGAACACAGCUUAAUUAAUGAUGACAGGAGGCAGCACUGAGAAACCUUGCCCUUGGACUAAGAUCAAGAAACUCAGAGCAAAUGCAAAGAAGAUUUUGAGUGAGGUCUUCUUCAGCUCUGAGGAACACUGUGUUACUUUCACCAAAAGACAUGCUUCCCUCACCGCAGGCCUGGGGGCUGUAGCUGGGCACUGCCAGUGGAAACCCAGAAAGGUGGAAGUCCCUGGAGCUCUGCAGAAAGCCAGGCCCCCAGCUCUUUCCCCUUGGCUUUAUGCCAAACUCACAAAUUCCUUAACUAAGACAUCCGUUCCCAACACAAACACAGAACCUUCGAAGUCUCUUGAUUAUUCCUUAUCAGUCCCUUUUCUAUGUUUCAUAGAGGAAACGUAUUACUUUAGGGGAAAAAGCAGACUCCCUUUUCUCAGGACAACAAGCUCUGUAUAGUAUGCGUUUGUGGUCACCAAGAUGGCAAGGCAUGAGUCUCACUUGAGAGCCAGGAGGGUAAAUAUGAGCCUAGCAAGAAGCUUAGAACAACUCUUUAAAUAGAGUUUGGCCCUUCCUUCAGCCCCCUGCUAUUUUGGCCAAGUGUGCAAAUGGCCUCUCCAAG
This 1044-nucleotide long non-coding RNA is filed under the name Vulpes vulpes (red fox). RNAcentral describes it as "lncRNA (ENSVVUG00000001543.1)". The record is from RNAcentral. Lineage: Eukaryota; Metazoa; Chordata; Mammalia; Carnivora; Canidae.